RNAcentral lists this long non-coding RNA (522 nucleotides) under Apteryx haastii (Great spotted kiwi). Its description in RNAcentral is "lncRNA (ENSAHAG00000005561.1)". The record is from RNAcentral. Lineage: Eukaryota; Metazoa; Chordata; Aves; Apterygiformes; Apterygidae.
CAAUACAACAAAACAGAGAGCUGAUCUUAUUAUUCAUCUGAGAAAAUCCCUGGAUGUCAGAGAGGUAAAUCAGAGCAGAGUGCUCCCUUAACCUGCUGAAGGACAGGACAUGCUGGUGAUGGGAGACGGUUACUUCUGCAGCUAGACGAGAUGGAAGCAUUUCACAACCAUUAUCUUUAAAUAUUCACAAAUUCAACAUAGAGGAUUAGCAGCAGAAGGAAGUGUUUGCUCAGUACUCCGAAGCAAAAAAGAUUUUCUGAAGAAAAAAUGAAACUUUCAGCACUUGAAUACACAAGACUGUGUAAACAUUCACCAUUGACAGAUGAAGAUUCAAGGAAAUGCAUCCCCUUCAAAUUGGAAAGAACUGUAGAAAGAUAUCUGUGCUUGAGUCCUGCCAUGCAUGAACUCAACCCAGCCUUUAGAGUGCUUCAGAUCAAUCUAAGUGAAAUGCAAAUAUUGCUGGCCAUCAGUCUUCACUGUCAUUUUGAUACACAUAGAAGGAACCACAUGAAACAAAGGUGA